This 870-nucleotide ribosomal RNA is filed under the name uncultured archaeon. RNAcentral's name for it is "bacterial SSU rRNA". It matches the Rfam family "Archaeal small subunit ribosomal RNA", at positions 85 to 947 of the family's 1478-position model. The record is from RNAcentral.
ACUGCUCAGUAACACGUGGCUAAUCUACCCUUAAGUCAAAGAUAACCUCGGGAAACUGAGACUAAGAUUUGAUAGGGGUGAAGUGCUGGAAAGCAAUCACCCAUAAAUUCGAGCUUAAGGAUGAGGCUGCGGACGAUUAGCUAGUUGGUGGGGUAACUGCCUACCAAGGCUUUGAUCGUUACGGGCUCUUAGCGGAGUUGCCCGGAGAAGGAAUCUGAGACACUAUUCCUAGCUCUACGGAGUGCAGCAGCAGCGAAUCAUUUGCAAUGCGCGAAAGCGUGACAAUGCGAACCAAAGUGCUUUUCUAUUUUUUGAAAAGCUUUUCUUCACUUUAAAAAGGUGGAGGAAUAAGGACUGGGCAAGACCGGUGCCAGCCGCCGCGGUAAUCCCGGCGGUCCAAGUCGCAUCCACAAUUAUUGGGUCUAAAACAUCCGUAGCUUGUUUUGUAAGUCUCUUGUGAAAUUCCAUAUCUUAAGUAUGGAGCGUGCAAGAGAUACUACAAGGCUUUGAGACCGGAAGACGCAAAGAGUACGAUUGAGGUAGCGGUAAAAUGUGUUAAUCUUGGUCGGACUAACAGUGGCGAAGGCGCUUUGCGAGUACGGAUCUGACAGUGAGGGAUGAAGGCUAGGGGCGCAAAAGGGAUUAGAUACCCCUGUAGUCCUAGCAGUAAACACUGCAUACUAAACAUCAGUACCUCUUCGAGAGGUAUUGGUGCUGUAGGGAAGCCGAAGAGUAUGCUACCUGGGAAGUAUAGUCGCAAGACCGAAACUUAAAGGAAUUGGCGGGGGAGGGUGCUGUAGGGAAGCCGAAGAGUAUGCUACCUGGGAAGUAUAGUCGCAAGACCGAAACUUAAAGGAAUUGGCGGGGGAG